GUAAUAUGUUUGCAAGGCUCAGCCUAAGACUAAUCAGUUUUUUUUUUAAUUUCUUUGAAGAAUUCAGUAAGAUGAACAGCUAAACGUCAGCAACUUUAAGAUUUCAAAUUUCAAUUAACAAAUGGGUUUUCAGGUGAACGAGUGAAACUAGUAAACAAACAUAUAGGCGAUAUGUCAUAUGCCCGAAUAAAUGACGGUUGUCCCAGCACAGCGACAAUCGCUUUAUCUAAUAUUGAUAUUCCACUGAAACCCCUUGUCCAGAAGAACUAUUAUAAACAAUAUACUGAAAGGUUUCUUAUAACAGUUUCCCAUGGCCAGGAUCUAUUUGUAUCACAAUUUAUUGAAGAGAAAACUUAUCUGCUUUCUUUGGGUGAGUCUUUCACUUUCAAGAAUGUUGCUCCAGACUUUCAAAUUAAAAUACAACUAUUCUACAUCAGAUUGAAAAAUAAACAAAAGAUUAUUAACUGGAAACGGUUGCUGAAGCCAUCAAAGUCCAAAAUAAUUUACCAAGACCAUAUAGAUAACCAGUUUUAAGAAAAAGAAGUUUUCCAUACGUCUUUUCAACUAUGCGCAAAGAUGACACUCACCAGGGACUAUAUUGACACGAGCUCCUCAACCCUCAUUGCUUAUCCCAAAGUUUUUCCUAGACUAAAUAGAAAAAUCCAAUACUACGUGCAAUGUAACAUUGAUACCAAAGCGAACCUAGGUGGAUUAUUAGAUGUGGGAACUAAGAAAAGAGACGUAAUAUUUUGGUGCACUAGGUACUGCAUAUUGAACGGAAAUGACCUCUGGAUCUACGCUGAUCCAAAUGACUGGCAGUUCGGUAGGAAGCCAAUUGAAAUUAUUAACUUGAGUUUUUGUUUAGGACCGAUUGUGAGAAAGAUUAACAAUUGUUCGAGGCCAAGAUGUUUUUAACUGACAACUGCCAGGCCGAAGAUAAAUCGCGAAAAGCCGCCGUUAGGUCAAAACCGAAUUUUAUUUAGAAACGGUUUAAUUUUUGUGCCAGAACGAAAAGCGAAUAUGACGAAUGGACGAGUCAACUGGAGAACUUAUAUCAGUCGUUAAUGCUUUUUAAAAAGUUAUAUUUCGAUCAGGAAUAUGAAGAAUAUUAUAAGAGUUUCAUGCAAAAUUAACUUUUUUAGUUGCAAAAAAGAAAUG
Molecule: long non-coding RNA, 1158 nt
Organism: Anthonomus grandis grandis
Lineage: Eukaryota; Metazoa; Arthropoda; Insecta; Coleoptera; Curculionidae
Exons: 3
Source: RefSeq, a predicted model, not a curated record